Paramisgurnus dabryanus is the source of this 249-nucleotide long non-coding RNA. RefSeq lists it as uncharacterized. The record is from RefSeq and is a predicted model, not a curated record. NCBI's taxonomy places the organism in Eukaryota, Metazoa, Chordata, Actinopteri, Cypriniformes, Cobitidae.
UAGACCUUCAAAUUAGAAAAGUGAGGAUGAUCUUGUCAAUGCUGAGAUUUUCAUGCAUCAACAGCCACUACAUCUGGAUCAGAUUGAACAAGAAACAGACAGCAAGGGUUGUCAGAUCAGAAACAGAAUGACACACAAACACAAGAAACUUCACAGGCAGAUCAACAUGCAAUUUAAAGACGUGUGAUAAAAUACAGAGAGGUGAAGUCGUGUGUCUUUCCAGAUGCCCAAAUCAUUCCCCCUUAAAAG